RNAcentral lists this ribosomal RNA (301 nucleotides) under uncultured bacterium. Its description in RNAcentral is "partial 16S ribosomal RNA". It matches the Rfam family "Bacterial small subunit ribosomal RNA", at positions 509 to 807 of the family's 1533-position model. The record is from RNAcentral.
CAGCAGCCGCGGUAAUGCGUAGGUCCCGAGCGUUAUCCGGAAUUAUUGGGCGUAAAGCGAGCGCAGGCGGUUCCUUAAGUCUGAUGUGAAAGCCCCCGGCUCAACCGGGGAGGGUCAUUGGAAACUGGGGAACUUGAGUGCAGAAGAGGAGAGUGGAAUUCCAUGUGUAGCGGUGAAAUGCGUAGAUAUAUGGAGGAACACCAGUGGCGAAGGCGACUCUCUGGUCUGUAACUGACGCUGAGGCUCGAAAGCGUGGGUAGCAAACAGGAUUAGAUACCCCUGUAGUCCCUGUCUCUUAUAC